Molecule: microRNA precursor, 103 nt
Filed under: Marmota monax (woodchuck)
Lineage: Eukaryota; Metazoa; Chordata; Mammalia; Rodentia; Sciuridae
Source: RNAcentral
AGUGGGAUAGCUGUGUCAAAUGGUGGUUCCAUUCCAAGUUUUCUGAGGAAUCGCCAUACUGCUUUUCAUAGUAGUUGUACCAAUUUGCAAUCCCACCAGCAAU